Trematomus bernacchii (emerald rockcod) is the source of this 514-nucleotide long non-coding RNA. RefSeq lists it as uncharacterized. The transcript has 3 exons. NCBI's taxonomy places the organism in Eukaryota, Metazoa, Chordata, Actinopteri, Perciformes, Nototheniidae. The record is from RefSeq and is a predicted model, not a curated record.
GUUUUCUAGGUAAUGUAACAACUGUUUGACUUGCAAAGUAGGAUAACAAGUUGUAUCAUACACGGUAAUGAGGUAUUAAGUUGAUAAUACAUUCAUAACCUGGCUCACAUUUGCAGCUUUACCGUUAACAGGCAUCCGGUAACGCGUCGCUUUAAAAGUCAACCCCUAGCGUAAGUUGCGUCUGACGGACACCAUGGAUGAAGAACCAGAGAGAGCCAAGCGCUGGGAAGGGGGCUAUGAGAGGACUUGGGAAGUGCUGAAGGAGGACGAAUCUGGAUCCCUGAAAGCCACAGUGGAGGAGAUCCUGUUGCAGUCUAAUGGCACUUCAUAUCAAAAAGGUUGCCGACCCCUGCUCUAGAUGAUAGGAAAGGAGGUUUCAAACUUCCUUUAUAACCUCCUUUAGCUUAGGAACCACUGGACCUCCCUUUACGAAAGGAGAGGAGAAAAUGCUGCCCCACAAUGCCUUGCAGCCGCAGCAUUUGCCGUCACACAACAUUCGGCCGUUCACGGAAAC